Molecule: ribosomal RNA, 250 nt
Filed under: uncultured bacterium
Lineage: Bacteria
Description: partial 16S ribosomal RNA
Rfam family: Bacterial small subunit ribosomal RNA
Source: RNAcentral
UACGAGGGGAGCUAGCGUUGUUCGGAAUUACUGGGCGUAAAGCGCGCGUAGGCGGCUUUUUAAGUCAGAGGUGAAAGCCCGGGGCUCAACCCCGGAAUUGCCUUUGAAACUGGAAAGCUAGAAUCUUGGAGAGGUCAGUGGAAUUCCGAGUGUAGAGGUGAAAUUCGUAGAUAUUCGGAAGAACACCAGUGGCGAAGGCGACUGACUGGACAAGUAUUGACGCUGAGGUGCGAAAGCGUGGGGAGCAAAC